This 1005-nucleotide long non-coding RNA is filed under the name Monodelphis domestica (gray short-tailed opossum). Its description in RNAcentral is "lncRNA (ENSMODG00000050137.1)". Lineage: Eukaryota; Metazoa; Chordata; Mammalia; Didelphimorphia; Didelphidae. The record is from RNAcentral.
AUGGUCUUCAUGGUGAGGCAAAUGCAGGAAAAAUGCCUUGAGCAGAACCUGAAUCUCUACAUUGUCUUCAUAGACCUGACAAAGGCGUUCGACACAGUGAACAGGGAUGCAUUGUGGGUGAUCCUCAGCAAGCUCGGUUGCCCAGCAAUAUUCGUCAAACUGAUCCAGCUCUUUCAUGUCGACAUGACAGGGGAAGUCCUAUCUGGUGGAGAGACUUCUGAUCGCUUCAACAUCUCCAAUGGCGUGAAACAAGGCUGUGUCCUCGCUCUGGUACUAUUCAACCUAUACUUCACCCAAGUAUUACGACAUGCUGUGAUGGAUCUAGACCUGGGCAUCUACAUCAAAUACCAACUGGAUGGCUCACGAUUUGACCUUCGCCGCCUGACUGCAAAAACAAAGACAACAGAGAGACUCAUCCUAGAAGCUCUCUUUGCAGAUGACUGUGCUCUCAUGGCUCACCAAGAAAAUCAUCUCCAAACCAUUGUGGACAGGUUCUCCACCACAACAAAACUGUUUGGCCUGACUAUCAGCCUCAGCAAAACAGAGGUGCUGUUCCAACCUGCACCAGGGAGGCCAACGAACCAGCCGUGCAUUACAAUCGAGGGUACACAGCUUUCUAACGUCAAUACUUUCAAGUACCUGGGCAGCCCCAUCACCAAUGACGGGUCCCUAGACCACGAGAUGAAUGCCAGGAUCCAAAAGGCCAGCCAGGUACUCGGGCGGCUGCGCUGCAAAGUCCUCCAACACAGAGGUGUAAGCACUGCCAUGAAGCUCAAAGUGUACAAUGCAGUGGUCCUCAGCUCGCUCCUGUACGGUUGUGAGACAUGGACACUGUACCAUAAGCACAUGAAACACCUGGAGCAAUUCCACCAACGCUCCUUCUGGUCAAUCAUGAGGAUCCAAUGGCAGGACCGAAUCACCAAUCAGGAAGUCCUCGACAGAGCCAACUCCACCAGCAUCGAAGUCAUGGUCCCCAAAACCCACUACGAUGGUCUGGACACGUGA